UACGUAGGGGGCAAGCGUUGUCCGGAUUUAUUGGGCGUAAAGAGCGUGUAGGCGGCCUGACAGGUCUGCUGUGAAAACUCGAGGCUCAACCUCGAGAUGUCGGCGGAAACCGUCUGGCUAGGGUCCGGAAGAGGAGAGUGGAAUUCCUGGUGUAGCGGUGAAAUGCGCAGAUAUCAGGAAGAACACCUAUGGCGAAGGCAGCUCUCUGGGACGGUACUGACGCUGAGACGCGAAAGCGUGGGGAGCGAACAGG
Molecule: ribosomal RNA, 253 nt
Filed under: uncultured bacterium
Lineage: Bacteria
Description: partial 16S ribosomal RNA
Rfam family: Bacterial small subunit ribosomal RNA
Source: RNAcentral